This 497-nucleotide ribosomal RNA is filed under the name uncultured bacterium. Its description in RNAcentral is "partial 16S ribosomal RNA". It matches the Rfam family "Bacterial small subunit ribosomal RNA", at positions 28 to 507 of the family's 1533-position model. The record is from RNAcentral.
GAUGAACGCUGGCGGCGUGCCUAAUACAUGCAAGUCGAGCGAACGGACGAGAAGCUUGCUUUUCUGAUGUUAGCGGCGGACGGGUGAGUAACACGUGGAUAACCUACCUAUAAGACUGGGAUAACUUCGGGAAACCGGAGCUAAUACCGGAUAAUAUUUUGAACCGCAUGGUUCAAAAGUGAAAGACGGUCUUGCUGACACUUAUAGAUGGAUCCGCGCUGCAUUAGCUAGUUGGUAAGGUAACGGCUUACCAAGGCAACGAUGCAUAGCCGACCUGAGAGGGUGAUCGGCCACACUGGAACUGAGACACGGUCCAGACCCCUACGGGAGGCAGCAGUAGGGAAUCUUCCGCAAUGGGCGAAAGCCUGACGGAGCAACGCCGCGUGAGUGAUGAAGGUCUUCGGAUCGUAAAACUCUGUUAUUAGGGAAGAACAUAUGUGUAAGUAACUGUGCACAUCUUGACGGUACCUAAUCAGAAAGCCACGGCUAACUACGUG